Rosa rugosa (rugosa rose) is the source of this 1193-nucleotide long non-coding RNA. RefSeq lists it as uncharacterized. NCBI's taxonomy places the organism in Eukaryota, Viridiplantae, Streptophyta, Magnoliopsida, Rosales, Rosaceae. The record is from RefSeq and is a predicted model, not a curated record. The transcript has 3 exons.
UCCCAAGGACAAAACCAAAGUUUUCUCUGGUUAUCCAGCCAAAAUCCAUGUCUUCCAAUCCAUGUCUUCUCACAAUUGAUGCUUGAAACUCAUCUCAGGUUGCAUGAUUGUUGCAACCCAAGCUUUCUUUUUGUCCUCUUUCUCAUGAAAAUUGUGGUUCUCUUAUGGUCCCGACCUCCUUGGAGUUUUCAUGCCAAAAGUUGGAGACUUGGAAGUAGAGGAACACAUCUGGAUUUUAAUUAAAUGGAGUCAGAGGAUGAUCAAGUUUAUAUUCCUCAUUAGGUGAACAAGUUCCACCAGUAUGGAUGAGGAGGGUUGUUCAUCAACAAGUGAACUCUAAGGUGCGUGGUGGUAGUUCUGGCUAGCUAGGACACAUUCAGUUUUGACAAUUAGCUUAGGAGUUCUGAUGAGCUCAAAACUUUCAAUUGGGUUUACCAAGGUAAAAAGGAGAGAUUUUCUUGGAAAUAUUGAGAAUUUAGUUCUAGGGACUGAUUUUGGUAGUCCAUUUUCAUUUGCAGUUUACUUUUAAGUACUUCAAAAGUGGAGUGCAAUUAUUAAGCCGUUGAAGUGUCAUCAAAAUUGCCAGUUGGGAAGCUAUCCAUUAAAACUAUGGUAGAGUCUUGUUGAUAGUCAAUUUCAAGAUUCUGGAACUUAUAUAUCUGCAUAUUAGCACACUACUAUGAAAAAAGUAGCAUAAUUUAGCUCAAGUUGGUCAAAAACAGGAGUGUUGCCUCUGAGUAGCUUUGGAAGCCAUAUUCUCAAAAGUUUCUUCUUGCAUCUGUUAAUUACUGUGAAUUGAUCUGUUGACUCACAGUCUUGUGGCUUGUUGUGUAGUUUAGUUUUCCAUUGAUGAAAAGAAGUUUGUAUAUUUUUGUAGUAAAAUAUCAUGAGGUCAAAAGAUAUCCAAUAUUUUUUUGCAGAUACUGAUACUUUGCAGAUAUUGAAUAGGGGCUAUUUUGAGUUUGGCUGGUCCCAAAUCUAGGACAAACGAUUAUCAUGAGGUUGCUCAGAAUGAUACCUGUAAGCGGCAAAGAAUGUCAUCAUGUACUUAUGAGGAGAGCCAAAGACUAAUUCCCAAUCUUUCCCAGUAUAUAUGAUUGUUUAUCAGAGAUUUUCUCACAUUGGAAUUAACUUAUCAGACAAAUGCAAUUUUUAGGUUCCUAUGGAGAUUAUUGUAUGUAAUGGUUUCAAUU